GACGAACGCUGGCGGCGUGCUUAACACAUGCAAGUCGAGCGGUAAGGCCUCUUCGGGGGUACACGAGCGGCGAACGGGUGAGUAACACGUGGGUGACCUGCCCUCAGCUCUGGGAUAAGCCUGGGAAACUGGGUCUACUACCGGAUAUGACCUUUCCUCGCAUGGGGUUUGGUGGAAAGUUUUUUCGGCUGGGGAUGGGCCCGCGGCCUAUCAGCUUGUUGGUGGGGUGAUGGCCUACCAAGGCGACGACGGGUAGCCGGCCUGAGAGGGCGACCGGCCACACUGGGACUGAGACACGGCCCAGACUCCUACGGGAGGCAGCAGUGGGGAAUAUUGCGCAAUGGGCGGAAGCCUGACGCAGCGACGCCGCGUGGGGGAUGACGGCCUUCGGGUUGUAAACCUCUUUCGACCCCGACGAAUUUGGACGGUAGGGGUAGAAGAAGCACCGGCCAACUACGUG
This 460-nucleotide ribosomal RNA is filed under the name uncultured bacterium. RNAcentral describes it as "partial 16S ribosomal RNA". It matches the Rfam family "Bacterial small subunit ribosomal RNA", at positions 28 to 507 of the family's 1533-position model. The record is from RNAcentral.